Molecule: ribosomal RNA, 253 nt
Filed under: uncultured bacterium
Lineage: Bacteria
Description: partial 16S ribosomal RNA
Rfam family: Bacterial small subunit ribosomal RNA
Source: RNAcentral
UACAGAGGUCCCGAGCGUUGUUCGGAUUCACUGGGCGUAAAGGGUGCGCAGGUGGCAUGGCAAGUUUGAUGUGAAAUCUCCGGGCUCAACCCGGAAAAGGCAUUGAAUACUGCUGUGCUGGAGGUUUGGAGGGGGGACUGGAAUUCUCGGUGUAGCAGUGAAAUGCGUAGAUAUCGAGAGGAACACCAGUGGCGAAGGCGAGUCCCUGGACAACACCUGACACUGAGGCACGAAAGCCAGGGGAGCAAACGGG